CCUACGGGAGGCAGCAGUGAGGAAUAUUGGUUAAUGGACGAGAGUCUGAACCAGCCAAGUAGCGUGAAGGAUGACUGCCCUAUGGGUUGUAAACUUCUUUUAUAUGGGAAUAAAACGUUCCACGUGUGGGAUUUUGUAUGUACCAUAUGAAUAAGGAUCGGCUAACUCCGUGCCAGCAGCCGCGGUAAUACGGAGGAUCCGAGCGUUAUCCGGAUUUAUUGGGUUUAAAGGGAGCGUAGGUGGAUUGUUAAGUCAGUUGUGAAAGUUUGCGGCUCAACCGUAAAAUUGCAGUUGAAACUGGCAGUCUUGAGUACAGUAGAGGUGGGCGGAAUUCGUGGUGUAGCGGUGAAAUGCUUAGAUAUCACGAAGAACUCCGAUUGCGAAGGCAGUUCACUGGACUGCAACUGACACUGAGGCUCGAAAGUGUGGGUAUCAAACAGGAUUAGAUACCCAGUAGUC
Molecule: ribosomal RNA, 459 nt
Filed under: uncultured bacterium
Lineage: Bacteria
Description: partial 16S ribosomal RNA
Rfam family: Bacterial small subunit ribosomal RNA
Source: RNAcentral